GUACACUCCUGCGGGAGGCAGCAGUGGGGAAUUUUGGACAAUGGGCGAAAGCCUGAUCCAGCAAUGCCGCGUGAGUGAAGAAGGCCUUCGGGUUGUAAAGCUCUUUUGUCAGGGAAGAAACGGUGAGAGCUAAUAUCUCUUGCUAAUGACGGUACCUGAAGAAUAAGCACCGGCUAACUACGUGCCAGCAGCCGCGGUAAUACGUAGGGUGCAAGCGUUAAUCGGAAUUACUGGGCGUAAAGCGUGCGCAGGCGGUUUUGUAAGUCUGAUGUGGAAUCCCCGGGCUCAACCUGGGAAUUGCAUUGGAGACUGCAAGGCUAGAAUCUGGCAGAGGGGGGUAGAAUUCCACGUGUAGCAGUGAAAUGCGUAGAUAUGUGGAGGAACACCGAUGGCGAAGGCAGCCCCCUGGGUCAAGAUUGACGCUCAUGCACGAAAGCGUGGGGAGCAAACAGGAUUAGAUACCCCAGUAGUCCCAUGA
Molecule: ribosomal RNA, 478 nt
Filed under: uncultured organism
Description: partial 16S ribosomal RNA
Rfam family: Bacterial small subunit ribosomal RNA
Source: RNAcentral